This 200-nucleotide ribosomal RNA is filed under the name uncultured bacterium. Its description in RNAcentral is "partial 16S ribosomal RNA". It matches the Rfam family "Bacterial small subunit ribosomal RNA", at positions 8 to 208 of the family's 1533-position model. The record is from RNAcentral.
AGAGUUUGAUCAUGGCUCAGGACGAACGCUGGCGGCGUGCCUAAUACAUGCAAGUCGAGCGGAGUUAUUCCUUCGGGAAUAGCUUAGCGGCGGACGGGUGAGUAACACGUAGGCAACCUGCCUGUAAGAUCGGGAUAACUCACGGAAACGUGUGCUAAUACCGGAUAAAUAAACUUCUCGCAUGAGGAGGUUAGGAAUGA